RNAcentral lists this unclassified non-coding RNA (223 nucleotides) under Hevea brasiliensis (rubber tree). Lineage: Eukaryota; Viridiplantae; Streptophyta; Magnoliopsida; Malpighiales; Euphorbiaceae. The record is from RNAcentral.
UGCCAGUGUAGCUCCAAGAGCAUCUGCAAAGAAAAAGAAAUCGAUAAAGAUGAGAAGGCAUACUCACAUCCACAUUAAUGUCAAAAAAGUUUUCCUAAAUUUACAAGGUCCAAAGGACUAAAGAAUAUAUUAGUACUGCUAAGCAGGAGCCCUAAUUAAAAUCCCUAAUAUCUCGAUCCCCUUGUUUGGAAUGGAGAACUUUGUAAGAAUUCAAUUCAAUUUA